UUGAAGAUUCCCAAUUCGAAAUCUACCGCAUUGAUGGCUGGAGAAAACUUAAACUGAAUGCAGUCCCAACGCUUUUCGAUGUGCCCAACUCCCCGCCACGAAUCAACCCACCUAGACGAAAAUCACUGUACAAGAAUCGUGAUGAAAACGCGACGCCUGCUCAAGUAGCAAUAAUCGAUUGUUUUGACCAAUCGGUGCUUCAAGAAUUGAAUUCGGUUAACCAAGAGAAAGCUACUGAGGAGUGUGACGAGCCAUUUGAAAUGACGCAACAGCCG
Long non-coding RNA from Trachymyrmex cornetzi, 275 nucleotides. RefSeq lists it as uncharacterized. The transcript has 3 exons. The record is from RefSeq and is a predicted model, not a curated record. NCBI's taxonomy places the organism in Eukaryota, Metazoa, Arthropoda, Insecta, Hymenoptera, Formicidae.